CAGUCGUACCGGCGGAUAAUCAGCCUUUCAGGUGCGAUACUGUGGGGCGUGAGGAGUUUAACCGCCUUCAUGUUUUGCAUAUUCGUGCACAUUUGGUGUACUUGUCCGUGUGGUUGGUUAACAUCAAUUUCGGGCACCAUAAAAUGAUUGGAGGAAUGUAGCUUUGAUCUCGUAUCGAAGUGUUAUAGACUCUGGUAG
RNAcentral lists this ribosomal RNA (198 nucleotides) under Rhizophagus irregularis. Lineage: Eukaryota; Fungi; Glomeromycota; Glomeromycetes; Glomerales; Glomeraceae. The record is from RNAcentral.